GGUCUCGUAGCUCAGAUGGCUAGAGCAUUGGCUGUACUAAAGCCUUCCCAUUGCGGGCUUGGGUUCGAAUCCCACCGAGGCCG
Schistocephalus solidus is the source of this 83-nucleotide non-coding RNA. Lineage: Eukaryota; Metazoa; Platyhelminthes; Cestoda; Diphyllobothriidea; Diphyllobothriidae. The record is from Rfam.